GACGAACGCUGGCGGCGUGCUUAACACAUGCAAGUCGAACGGAAAGGCCCUGCUUUUGCGGGGUGCUCGAGUGGCGAACGGGUGAGUAACACGUGAGUAACCUGCCCUUGACUUUGGGAUAACUUCAGGAAACUGGGGCUAAUACCGGAUAGGAGCUCCUGCUGCAUGGUGGGGGUUGGAAAGUUUCGGCGGUUGGGGAUGGACUCGCGGCUUAUCAGCUUGUUGGUGGGGUAGUGGCUUACCAAGGCUUUGACGGGUAGCCGGCCUGAGAGGGUGACCGGCCACAUUGGGACUGAGAUACGGCCCAGACUCCUACGGGAGGCAGCAGUGGGGAAUAUUGCACAAUGGGCGGAAGCCUGAUGCAGCAACGCCGCGUGCGGGAUGACGGCCUUCGGGUUGUAAACCGCUUUCGCCUGUGACGAAGCGUGAGUGACGGUAAUGGGUAAAGAAGCACCGGCUAACUACGUGCCAGCAGCCGCGGUGAUACGUAGGGUGCGAGCGUUGUCCGGAUUUAUUGGGCGUAAAGGGCUCGUAGGUGGUUGAUCGCGUCGGAAGUGUAAUCUUGGGGCUUAACCCUGAGCGUGCUUUCGAUACGGGUUGACUUGAGGAAGGUAGGGGAGAAUGGAAUUCCUGGUGGAGCGGUGGAAUGCGCAGAUAUCAGGAGGAACACCAGUGGCGAAGGCGGUUCUCUGGGCCUUUCCUGACGCUGAGGAGCGAAAGCGUGGGGAGCGAACAGGCUUAGAUACCCUGGUAGUCCACGCUGUAAACGGUGGGUACUAGGUGUGGGGUCCAUUCCACGGGUUCCGUGCCGUAGCUAACGCUUUAAGUACCCCGCCUGGGGAGUACGGCCGCAAGGCUAAAACUCAAAGGAAUUGACGGGGCCCCGCACAAGCGGCGGAGCAUGCGGAUUAAUUCGAUGCAACGCGUAGAACCUUACCUGGGUUUGACAUGGAUCGGGAGUGCUCAGAGAUGGGUGUGCCUCCUUUGGGGUCGGUUCACAGGUGGUGCAUGCCUGUCGUCAGCUCGUGUCGUGAGAUGUUGGGUUAAGUCCCGCAACGAGCGCAACCCUUGUUCACUGUUGCCAGCACGUUAUGGUGGGGACUCAGUGGAGACCGCCGGGGUCAACUCGGAGGAAGGUGGGGAUGACGUCAAGUCCUCAUGCCCCUUAUGUCCAGGGCUUCACGCAUGCUACAAUGGCUGGUACAGAGAGUGGCGAGCCUGUGAGGGUGAGCGAAUCUCGGAAAGCCGGUCUCAGUUCGGAUUGGGGUCUGCAACUCGACCUCAUGAAGUCGGAGUCGCUAGUAAUCGCAGAUCAGCAACGCUGCGGUGAAUACGUUCCCGGG
RNAcentral lists this ribosomal RNA (1343 nucleotides) under uncultured bacterium. Its description in RNAcentral is "16S ribosomal RNA". It matches the Rfam family "Bacterial small subunit ribosomal RNA", at positions 28 to 1378 of the family's 1533-position model. The record is from RNAcentral.